Molecule: long non-coding RNA, 468 nt
Filed under: Urocitellus parryii (Arctic ground squirrel)
Lineage: Eukaryota; Metazoa; Chordata; Mammalia; Rodentia; Sciuridae
Description: lncRNA (ENSUPAG00010019887.1)
Source: RNAcentral
CCUCGCCAGGAUCCGCGAACUGGUGCGCCUCCUCUCUUGCCGGGAGUGAGCCCUAGCGCCCGGCGGAGCAUGAAAGCGACCCCCAGCGCGGGAUAAAUGCUCUUCACCCAGCGCAGGGCCCGGGACACGGCCGUGCGCACCGCUCCGAGGGAGCGCCGGGGGCGGCGGUAGGGAGAACACGCCAGGGAGAGGGGCGUGUUCCCUGAACCUCGGAGCACUAAGGCCGUAUCCACGGGACCGGGACACCGGGGAGCCAAGCGCUAGGAUUAGUCAAAAACAUCCUUGCAAAGACUGUAAAGCUGGCUUUCUAUGUCAUGAGAAAAGUCAGAAGACAGCUAAGGCAAGAAGGAAGAAAGAAGGACAUACCUAUUCAGGAAACUGAGGUGGAGAAAAGAUUGAAGAUGGCAGAGUAAAGAUUUGAACUCAGCUUCCACUCUCACCAAUUUGCCACCUAACAGUGAUGCUCCA